RNAcentral lists this long non-coding RNA (3657 nucleotides) under Canis lupus familiaris (dog). Its description in RNAcentral is "lncRNA (ENSCAFG00040015281.1)". The record is from RNAcentral. Lineage: Eukaryota; Metazoa; Chordata; Mammalia; Carnivora; Canidae.
AUGCAUGUAGUGAAGCUUUUUUUUGGCACUGUACUUGACUCUUCCAUGUUGGACCUCCUCUGUGGGUACUUCCUUUACAACUGGCUCCAAUCAACCUUUCCUUCCAAGUACUCUGCCUUCUUUUCUCAGGCACUGUUCCUGGAGAACUUUCAACUACUCUGGGUGAUGCCAAAGAUACAUUUCACUAAAACAGUAAUUAUGCUUCUGGACCUUUGCCUGGUAAAAUGGAAAAGAUAUAAAAUAUGUGGUAAGUUUAUUAAAUUAUUAUCCAGCUUUUUUUUUCCCUCAGAUUUUUUUCUUUUAUGUUUACAGAAUAGUCAGUAAAGGUAUUGGAUUAGAAUAAUGACAGUGAAUGUUUUUAAAUAAUCUUCCUUGCUGUUUCCUGGCUCCCUUCAAGUCAUAAUUCUGAAGCUUGAUUGGUUGUUCCUACUUUACAUCUAAUAGUAGUUACACUUAAAGUCAUUUCAUACGUACAGACUUUGCUUUUUGUUAAGGACAUUGUCCAUGUUUUGAAUCUUUUGGUUUUGGUUUUAUUUAAAUUAUAUAAGAAUUUCAACCUGAAUAUAAAGAUAAAUGAUUACCUCUAAUAGAGGGAGUAUUAUGUAUGUUGUUUAUGCCUAUUAAAGGUUAAAUAUUAUUUUCAAACGAUAGAGCUAAUUUGGAUUUUGUUGGAAAUAUAUCUAAAUUUUUCUUCAAGUCUCUUAUUACAUGUUUCUCUGUCUGGAAAUUUUCAUCCACAUUAACAAACAUCUUUACUUAUUUUAAUCCUAUUGGCCGAGAUUUCUAUAUGAAGUUCUAAUAAGUGGCAAACACCUUUAGAAAUAUUUGGCAUCUAAAUGUCAACACGACUUUAACACACUGAGAUGAAACAGUAUUCCUCGUGAUAUGGGUUUGGUUUUUGCCUAAGGUAAUAAAAAUUUCAAUAAGCAUUCUCUCACUGAUAACUUUAAUCUUCAUCCUACAUUUGACUUUACAUAAGUAUAAAAUUAUAUAUAUGAAAUUAACUUUGUAAUAAAAAUGCUAUUCUCACUGUAAUCAGUCUUCUUAGCUACAGGCACUUGGACUCACUCUAGCCAGUUUAAACAGAAAAGGAUUUAUGCAGGGUUGUCAGGGACCUCAUGGGAUCACUGAGGGAGCUGAAGGAACAAACUUGAAAGAACUAAACUGCUAAGGGAACCUACUGGAAUAUUCUACAGGUCAAAUGCCCCAGGUUUUUUUAAUAGAUAAAUUAUAAGGGCGGAAAGGGGUAAAGGAGGAACAAUAGAUUAAAAAAGACUUAAAAGGCACAGCAAAUUUUUAAAAAGGGGGCCAAGAUUAAACUAUGAUGUAUAGGGAUACAUACUAUUUAAAGUUAAAUUGAGACAUACUAAAAAUUUUAAGAAUUUAUUUGAUCAAAACUCCAUUCCAAUUGGGCACUGCUUAACUGGAAGCAAUUAGAGCAAUCCAUCAAUAGGUGAUGGAGUGAGAGUUUUAUAGAGAAAAGGUGGAAGCAAAGUAAGGAAAUUAUUCAAUAGCUGGUUGGUUGUGAUUGGUUGUACUUAGGUUUCAAUUUCAUGAGUGUCAUGAGGCACUUACAGACUUAGGCAUUUUGGUUUGCCUACUUUCAUAGGCCUUGGCAUUCGAGUCGUUUUGAUCUGAUGGUCUCCUUGUUUAAUUAAUUUAACAAUAUGUAUGUGAUAAAAUAUAUUUUUAAUAAGCAUAAACAAUGUACAUAAUACAUAAUAGAAUAUAUUUUAAAAAUAAAACAGAAGGAAGUAAUUUUAUAAAUGUCAGGAUAGUGGUUUUAUUUGGGGGGAAAAUAACUUGUGAGGAGGGGUUAUAUGGAGGAGCUUCUGGGUGGUUUGCAAAAUUCUACUUUAUGAUCUGGGUGGUAGUUAUAAGUGAUUUUAUCUUAAAAUGUUAUUCAUUUUUUUCAUAUCUGUAUAUAAUUUUAAAAUAAAAAAGUCAAAAAUAUAAUUAAAAAUAAAAAAACAUGUUGGUAGUAUCAACUUCUUAGGAAGCAAGAUCUGAGGCUAGGUGAAUAGCAUAUCAUUGCUUCUAAGCCCUCUCUACUGACAGAGCAAGGAUACUUAUGUGUGUGCACUGACCUGUGUAUGUACACAUAAAAUAUUUCUUUGUGUAACCAUCUAUUCCUAUAGUAAGCUAAACACCAGAUCCUGCUGUUGUCUCAGGCUCUAAUCCAUUGCCACAUGGAUAUUCUAGACUCUUCCCCUUGCUUAUCUCUAAUUUACCAUUCUAAAUGGAGCCAGGUUUCCCUGACUCAUUCAUUUCCAAAGUUACUUCAGUUGGCCUCUUUCUUCUUUCCCCUUAUAGUGAGGUUUUUUUCGCACAUUUGUAAUAUAGUGAGGUUCUUCGGUCACAAUCAGCAUUCUAUUCUGGAACCGCCUGACUUCCUAAAUGAUUUUUCAAAAAAAAUUGUGUAUAUUAAGGUUCACUUUUUAUGCUGAAUAGUUUAAAUAGGUUUAACAAAUACUUAGUAUCUUGUAUUCGCCAUUACCAUGUCAUACUGAGUAGUUUCACUUAAUUAAUGCUCCUCACCCACUUGAACCUCUGGCAACCACUGAUAUGGUUAUCAUCUCUGUAAUUUUGUUUUUCCCAUGUUGUCACAUAAAUAAAAUUGUAAUAUGUGUAGCUUUUUCAGACUGGCUUCUUUCAAAUAGCAACACACGUUUAAAAUUCAUCCAUGACUUUUCAUGACUUAUUAGCUCUUUUUAAAAAAAUUACUCAGUAAUAUUCUAUUGUAUAUAUGGACCAGAGUUUUUCUUACAUUCACUUGAUGAAAAGCAUCUUGGUUACCUACAGGUUUCAGUAAUUAUGAAAUAAACUGAUAUAAACAUUUGUGUGCACAUUUUUGCGUGGAUGUGUUUUCAAAUCAGUUAAGUAAGUAACCAGGUAUGUUAUUGCUGGAUUGUGUGGUAAUACUGUGUUUAGCUUUUUAAAAAAUUGUUUAGCUGUGAUUGGCAUAGAACGUUAUAUUUGUUUCAGGUUUACAAUAUAAUGAUAUCUGUAUAUGUUGUGAAAUGGUCACCACAAUAAGUCUAGUUAACAUCCAUCACCAUACAUAGUUACAAAAAAAUUUUGUGUAUGUGAUAAGGACUUCUAAGAUUUACUUUCUUAGCAACUUUCAAAUAUAUGCUACAGUAUUAUUAACUAUACUCACCAUACUGUACAUUAUAUCCCCAUAACUUAUUUAUUUUAUAGCGAGACAUUUGCAUUCUUAACCCCCUUCACCCAUUUUAGUCAACCCCCACCCCUUCCUCUAGUGACCACUGAUCUGUUCUCUGCAUCUCUGAGCUAAUUUUUUUGGUGGAGGGAUUUCCACAUAUAAGUGAAAUAAUAUGGUAUUUAUCUUUCUCUGUCUGACUUAUUUCACUUAGCAUAAUGCCCUCAAGGUCCGUCUAUGUUGUCACAAAUGGCAAGAUUUCAUUCUUUUUUAUGCCUGUAUAAUAUUUCAGUGUGUGUGUGUGUGUGUGUGUGUGUGUGUGUAUGUACACCAUAUUCUCUGUAUUCAUCAGUGGAUACUUAGAUUGCUUCCCUAAUAUGGCCCUUAUUCAUAAUGAACAUAGGAGAAUAUAUCUUUUUGAGUUAGUGUUUUCAUUUUCUUUGAUGAUCAAGUGGAAUUGCUUGAUCAUGUGGUAGUUCUAUUUUUCAUUUUCU